AAGACCAUAAGGCUUUGCCUUGCGAUGAGCUUCUGGUGGGUUCUCUCUGGAGAAAUAGCCAGUUGCUUCAAACUUAUUGGCGUCUGAAGUUAGCCCAAGCACAGCAAAAUGUGUUUCGAGUCUUGCGAAGGAUUGCCGGUACCCAAAAUUAUAUAUU
This 157-nucleotide unclassified non-coding RNA is filed under the name uncultured Sordariomycetes. Its description in RNAcentral is "sequence contains ITS2". Lineage: Eukaryota; Fungi; Ascomycota; Sordariomycetes. The record is from RNAcentral.